This is a long non-coding RNA of Anas platyrhynchos (mallard), 2129 nucleotides long. RefSeq lists it as uncharacterized. The record is from RefSeq and is a predicted model, not a curated record. NCBI's taxonomy places the organism in Eukaryota, Metazoa, Chordata, Aves, Anseriformes, Anatidae.
GCUUGGGCUUUGCUGCUCACGGGGUGCUGGCUGGGUUGCAGGUGGGCACCAUGAGCACAGGGCUGGGCGGUGUGGGAUGAGGUACAGCUGUGCUCCGACUGCUUCCCCAGCACUGGGCUGCUCUUGCUGGAGCCGCAGCCUGCCGAGGGAAAGUUUCCAGCCACUGUGGAAAACCCAAAAUGAUGAGUCAGAGGGCUCAGAAACCAGAAGACAAUCAUGUUGGGAAGGUGUGGGCACGCCUUGUCUGUGCCUGUCCUUGGGGACUUUUUAAUGGGUUGGCAGGCUUCAGACCAAUUCCGACACCGGAUCCUACAGGUUACAUGGCAAGAUGCCACCGCCUCGAGAUCCAGACCAGAGCAGCUCCUCUUCCAGUGACCAGAGGGAUGUGGUGGGAGACGGCUUCGGUCUGGCUCCCUGGUGGGCACCAGUGAACCCAGCCAGGAGAAGUGUUCUGAAGCCGUGGGUGCUACUGUCCAGGGAGCAGAGGACUGAGCAGGCAUCGCUAGGGCGGGUGGCAGAGAUCCUGCAGAGAUCCUGGCGUUGGCACGGGCUGGCUCCUGCCUGAGCUCCUGCAGCGAGGAGGCCACCACUUGGACCUCAAGUCCUGCCUUGCUCCUGGUCUGCCAAGCAGGGGGACAGGGCUCCUUUGCUGUCUGCACGUGGGCUCAAAGCUCCAUCAGUCAUCUCCUACAGGUUUUGCAGCCUUUGUACUUUCUACAUCCCUGCUGGAAGCAAAGGUGCCAAAAUACUUCGCGAAAGCCUGUUCUUGCAGUACUUCCCAGACCUUCCCGCACUAGGAAAUGCCGGAAAUCGUGGGAGCAAGGCUGCUCCCUGGAGAGUCCUGACACAAGUUUUGCAGACCCUGAAGAUCUGGAAAAGCCUAAACUUCCCAAGACAUGGACUUCUCUCCAAAGCCAACAGGAACUCGGAAACUUUGGGCCUCUUGGUUUCGUUGCUCUGUAGACCCUGAAUCUUUAAAGUCAACCUUUGUUUUAUAUUUAUACGUUGCACGAAUAUACCCUUAUUUUUCUAAUUAGGGAGUCUGGGUCAAAAAUUCCUCGUUAAAGCUGCCUGCAGGCCAGAGUUUGUCUUGCUUGACUUGAGGCCAAAUCGCAGAGGUAUCUGGGCUUGGAGCUGAAUCUCCUCGCCUGCCUUCUGAGUUGGUGGAGGAAGCCAGAGCUCGGGGCAACUCUCCCAGCACAAGGGCUCCUCUUCCCUGCGCCCAGCGAGGGAGACCAAGCGUCGGCGUGAGCCGGUGCCUUGGGGGCCGGUGUGGCUGGACACCCAGCUGCAUCCUGGUGGCAUGGGGAGAAGGAUGGAGCCUCGAAGGGCUAAAGCAGCAUCACUGAGGUUAAUGGGAUGGGAUACAGGGGAUGUUCUCCUCUUCUGUCUGAAUUUCAGUUGGCACAGAAAUCCCCAUCCAGCUCCCACCCAUGACCUCAGAUUUGAAAAAGAGAGAGUUCAUCUUCCAGAGAAAAAACACUGUGGGGGAUCCCAUUUUUCGGGGCAGGGCAGACCUGGGGCCCUGGAGCUCAGCUGUGGGGCCACUGCCUUGGGCCAGAUGCAGCUCCUUGGCCCAGUGCUGCCAGGCUCGGCUGGGGAAGCAUCAGGGUGUGUAGAGCGCGUGGGUAGGCGAGGGGCGUGCGGGACGUGCUCUCCCCAGGCACACCAGCUCUUCAGGACUGGUUUGGGUUGAAGUUUAAGAACAGCAAACUAUUGUCUGUUCAUUUAACAGACCGUUUCCCAAUGACUUUGCUCCAGGCUAAUUCAUUUCAAUGGGUUUCCCCUUCCUGUAGAUUUAUCUUGCCUUUCUUCUCGUUCCUAGAAAAUGCAAGGGAAAGGGGAGAAGAAGAUGCUUCCUUUGGAAAUAUUGCACUGCUUACCUGCCCUGGAGGGGGAGAGAUGAGGAUUCACAGGGAAGCUGAAAAAGGAAUCUUCCUUUUGAAAUUUCCCUUAAAAUAAAAAAGUAACAGUUUUGGCAAAGCCUUCUGGCCGCAAUCUCAUCUUGUUCCAUUUCCAGACAGGGAGAGAAGCCUUGGGGGGCAUUUUUCUGCUGCGUGGAGCCUCCUUUCAACUUGCUCCCACUCUGGUGGCAGCGUGGGGCUGUACCCUGGCACAAGACACCCUCA